Molecule: small RNA, 715 nt
Filed under: Pongo abelii (Sumatran orangutan)
Lineage: Eukaryota; Metazoa; Chordata; Mammalia; Primates; Hominidae
Description: retained intron
Source: RNAcentral
GAGAGCAGAGGCACGUGGCAUCCCAGGGCGACCUCAGACGGCCAGCCGGUUAGCUAGUUCUGCUGUUGCUUCACGAGUUCUGAGCAUUCUCUGCUAGCCUAUGGAAGCUGCAGCCCUCGGAGGACAGAAGUGUUGUGCGCCCAACAGAACCCUCUGAGACGCAAGCUGCUCCCUUGGCUAGCUCAUAUGUGGAAAUAGCCCUGUAAUUCGAGGUUGAAGGGGCCCGGCCAGGACUCGGGGAAGGGUGGCCUGAGAGCAGCGAUGACCUCUGGGGUCACUGUCCCAGGAGGGACUUCACCUGGAACAAGAGCUGGAGGCAGCCGCUUGCCCCGGAGGCUUGUCCCCUGUAAGUGCUUUCGGGAAGAGUGGCAUGUGUCGCUGAGCCCUGUCCCGGGCGGCACCUGGGCGUUCCAGUGAGUCCUGCUCUCCCGCACCUGUGGCCCCGCGGCGGGCGCCUUUCGGUGUGUGCUGGGUGCAGGGCAGCGCCUCCCGGGAGCGCCGGGUCCCCCGCCUGGAGCCCGCGCCUGUUCUCCCUCCCUCCUCCUCCUUCCAGGAGGCGCUUCGCCAGUGAGGUGCGGGCUCAGGGUCUCGAGUCUCUCCUGGAGCACGGGCUGCGGUGCGCUGGCAGCUUAGGGGGCGGCCAGUCCUUGCCCACAACGAUGUGGAGCCCUGUGAAAGUCGGAUUCGAAUAAAGGGCCACGUGUGCACCCAGAAA